This 254-nucleotide ribosomal RNA is filed under the name uncultured bacterium. RNAcentral's name for it is "partial 16S ribosomal RNA". It matches the Rfam family "Bacterial small subunit ribosomal RNA", at positions 524 to 776 of the family's 1533-position model. The record is from RNAcentral.
UACGUAGGGGGCUAGCGUUGUCCGGAAUCAUUGGGCGUAAAGCGCGCGUAGGCGGCCCGGUAAGUCCGCUGUAAAAGUCAAAGGCUUAACCUUUGAAUGUCAGUGGAUACUGCUGUGGCUUGAGUCCGGUAGGGGAGCGUGGAAUUCCUGGUGUAGCGGUGAAAUGCGCAGAUAUCAGGAGGAACACCGGUGGCGAAGGCGGCGCUCUGGGCCGGUACUGACGCUGAGGAGCGAAAGCGUGGGGAGCAAACAGG